Molecule: ribosomal RNA, 500 nt
Filed under: uncultured bacterium
Lineage: Bacteria
Description: partial 16S ribosomal RNA
Rfam family: Bacterial small subunit ribosomal RNA
Source: RNAcentral
AUUGAACGCUGGCGGCAUGCCUUACACAUGCAAGUCGAACGGCAGCACGGGAGCAAUCCUGGUGGCGAGUGGCGAACGGGUGAGUAAUAUAUCGGAACGUGCCCAGUCGUGGGGGAUAACGUAGCGAAAGCUACGCUAAUACCGCGUACGAUCUAUGGAUGAAAGCGGGGGAUCGCAAGACCUCGCGCGAUUGGAGUGGCCGAUAUCAGAUUAGGUAGUUGGUGGGGUAAAGGCUCACCAAGCCGACGAUCUGUAGCUGGUCUGAGAGGACGACCAGCCACACUGGAACUGAGACACGGUCCAGACUCCUACGGGAGGCAGCAGUGGGGAAUUUUGGACAAUGGGCGCAAGCCUGAUCCAGCAAUGCCGCGUGCAGGAUGAAGGCCUUCGGGUUGUAAACUGCUUUUGUACGGAGCGAAAAAGUCUUUUUUAAUACAAAGGACUCAUGACGGUACCGUAAGAAUAAGCACCGGCUAACUACGUGCCAGCAGCCGCCGUAA